GAUGAACGCUGGCGGCGUGCCUAAUACAUGCAAGUCGAGCGAACAGACGAGGAGCUUGCUCCUCUGACGUUAGCGGCGGACGGGUGAGUAACACGUGGAUAACCUACCUAUAUGACUUGGAUAACUUCGGGAAACCGGAGCUAAUACCGGAUAAUAUAUUGAACCGCAUGGUUCAAUAGUGAAAGACGGUUUUGCUGUCACUUAUAGACGGAUCCGCGCCGCAUUAGCUAGUUGGUAAGGUAACGGCUUACCAAGGCAACGAUGCGUAGCCGACCUGAGAGGGUGAUCAGCCACACUGGAACUGAGACACGGUCCAGACUCCUACGGGAGGCAGCAGUAGGGAAUCUUGCACAAUGGGCGCAAGCCUGACGGAGCCACACCGCGUGAGUGAUGAAGGUCUUCGGAUUGUAAAGCUCUGUUAUUGGGGAAGAAAAAAAGUGUAUGAAACUCUGGCUGUCUUGACGGUACCUAAAGAAAAAGCAACGGCUAACUUCGUG
RNAcentral lists this ribosomal RNA (497 nucleotides) under uncultured bacterium. RNAcentral's name for it is "partial 16S ribosomal RNA". It matches the Rfam family "Bacterial small subunit ribosomal RNA", at positions 28 to 507 of the family's 1533-position model. The record is from RNAcentral.